RNAcentral lists this unclassified non-coding RNA (328 nucleotides) under soil metagenome. RNAcentral describes it as "partial contains 5.8S ribosomal RNA, internal transcribed spacer 2, and large subunit ribosomal RNA". The stretch from base 1 to 119 matches the Rfam family "5.8S ribosomal RNA", at positions 35 to 154 of the family's 154-position model. The record is from RNAcentral.
GAUGAAGAACGUAGCGAAUGCGAUAAGUAAUGUGAAUUGCAGAAUUCAGUGAAUCAUCGAAUCUUUGAACGCACAUUGCGCCCCUUGGUAUUCCGAGGGGCAUGCCUGUUCGAGCGUCAUUAUAACCCCUCAAGCUCAGCUUGGUGUUGGGGCCUGCUGCACUGGCAGCCCUUAAAAUCAGUGGCGGCGCCAUCUGGCUCUAAGCGUAGUAAUUCUUCUCGCUAUGGAGUCCUGGUGGAUGCUUGCCAUCAACCCCCAAUUUUUCUAUGGUUGACCUCGGAUCAGGUAGGGAUACCCGCUGAACUUAAGCAUAUCAAUAAGCGGAGGA